CCAUGCUUGGCAGCGUCUGCGUGCAGUGCUCGCAGUUUUCGGUCCAGGGGCGUGUUCCAGGACGCUCCUGUUGCCUGUGUUGUGUGUUGUGUGUGUGUGUGUGUGUGUGUGUGUGUGUGUGUUUGAAUGGGUUGCCCACAUGUGCCUCGACAAGUGGGACGCUGCCAUGAGCCUGUGGCGGCACGGGGCACUCCACUCUCUCCUACAUCCGCACGCCUCUAGCAGAAGGGGGGGGGGGGGUUGGCAAGCGGAAGGGGGCCGUGCGGAGGCAUGUGCCUGCGCACAGAAAACUCACAGCUUAUCGAUCUGAUGGGGGCAUAGAGGGGCAGCCAAAGAGACCCGACAGGGAAUCCUACGCAGCGCGGGCGGGAUGGGCGUAUUCAGGUUACUUAAUGCAACGCCACAGUGUAGAGCGAGGUGUGCCUUGAGCUUCGAAGGGCCCGAGAACCUCGUGUAGCAUACCGGACACAGCGCAAGCUUGAACGCCCUCACAACAAGCACAGGCAGGGGCGGCGGCUCUGGCGGGCGCGUGGGAGCACACCACAGUGCCAGCGCCCUAGUAGGCAGCUCACCAUCUGCACUACAUGCGGUCGCUGCCAGUUACCUGUUGCUGCGGAAGUUCAAAGUACGGAUAGGUGCCCCUGUGGGGCUGGGCGAGGAUGAUCUCCUGCAGUCUCGUAAGCGCAGCAUCGUUGCCCUUGUGUUGGAAUGCUGCCGCCGAAUAACUGGCAUGAUCUGUAGUGACCCGCUCCAAGCGCCACCAUGCCCGCGAGCCUAUUCGGCACACCGCCAGGCCCCGCCCUGUCUGCGGACACCAAAUGUCGGCAACCGUGCCGGAGGGCGGGCUGCAGGCUACUUGGUCUCCCCACAAAAAAAGAAGGAAUGCUGGGCCCCUGUGUGAUGCCACGCACGGAAGGGACCGGCACGGCCACUGGUGGAAAUAGAAAGACUAUAGAUAUGUAUGAAGCAGCGGAGCGCGGCGGGCGGGAGUCGUCUCUCUGUUACGCACACACACACACACACACACACACACACACACACACACACACACGAAACAAGGACGUGUCUCUGCGUCCUUGCGUACUGCACGUUCGCUCUGAUGCUGCUCGUUUUAGUUCUCCUCUGUUUUGCGUUUCUCUGUCAAGGACGUCGCAAAACGUCGGCGCAAAUACCCAUGCACGCGAUGGCGCCACAGUGUGCCUGAGGUUGCGCGGAGCCACUACUCGAUGACGGGGUCGUGUGUGUGUGUGUGAAGGAGGGGGUGUGUAUGUGCACAUCGAUGUAUACGCGUAUGUUUGUGUGCAUUUACAUGUAUCUGUAUAUGUGAGCGUGUAUACGUGGGUGCCUGUGUGGUUUUCGCUUCGCUCUUUCCUCCGUUUCUGUUUUUGUUGGCCUGUACCUUUAUGUAUCUCCCCUUCGGCGCCUCAACUUUCGUUCCACAGAGGGGCGGCGCUGCGCCAGCGUUUCUCUCUGCCCCGUCUGAAGUCUUCGACUCGUCGUCCCGGCAGCAUAUCGUCUUUCUCCCAUCGAUACCGCAGCUUCGGUCUCAAGGGAGGGGCAGCAGCCUGUUUCGAUGAGGCGGCGGUGAGCCAUGCAUGCCUUCGGGGCCCUCCCCCUUACACCGUCUCUCCGGUCGUUUCACCGCCACUUUCGCCACACGCGCGCAUCCACUGAGCCUCUGCUUGUUUCCCUAUGCAACACUGGAGAUGUGAGCAACGGAGGCGAGGCACGAGCUCCCUUUCUACGCCGCUCUCCAUUGGGGGAGGAGAGAUAAGGAGCGGAACGCCACAUAUGGAGAGCGUUACCGAGAGAGCGCCCACACACACACGCAUAAACAUCUUUUUUUAUCCUCGUGAGUCGGCAUCUUGGCCGAAGGCAACGGACAAAUCUAUAAGCCCCAUGCACGGCAACUUAAAUGCACCGAACU
This 1927-nucleotide unclassified non-coding RNA is filed under the name Leishmania donovani. Its description in RNAcentral is "gene:unknown". Lineage: Eukaryota; Euglenozoa; Kinetoplastea; Trypanosomatida; Trypanosomatidae. The record is from RNAcentral.